This 324-nucleotide ribosomal RNA is filed under the name uncultured eukaryote. RNAcentral's name for it is "partial 18S ribosomal RNA". It matches the Rfam family "Eukaryotic small subunit ribosomal RNA", at positions 1470 to 1796 of the family's 1831-position model. The record is from RNAcentral.
CCCUUAGAUGUUCUGGGCCGCACGCGCGCUACACUGAUGCAUUCAACGAGUUUCUUCCUGGUCCGAGAGGAAUGGGUAACCUUUUGAAAGCGCAUCGUGAUAGGGAUAGACUAUUGCAAUUAUUGGUCUUCAACGAGGAAUUCCUAGUAGACGUAGUUCAUCAGACUGCAUCGAUUACGUCCCUGCCCUUUGUACACACCGCCCGUCGCUCCUACCGAUUGAAUGCUCAGGUGAGCCAUUCGGACUUUCAUCAUGCUGGUUUCCAGUUUUGAUGAAGGAAAGUCUUGCGAACCUUAUCAUUUAGAGGAAGGAAAAGUCGUAACA